ACGGAAGGCAGCAGUGGGGAAUAUUGCACAAUGGGGGAAACCCUGAUGCAGCGACGCCGCGUGAGUGAAGAGGUAUUUCGGUAUGUAAAGCUCUAUCAGCAGGAAAGAAAAUGACGGUACCUGACUAAGAAGCCCCGGCUAACUACGUGCCAGCAGCCGCGGUAAUACGUAGGGGGCAAGCGUUAUCCGGAUUUACUGGGUGUAAAGGGAGCGUAGACGGCUUUGCAAGUCUGAAGUGAAAGCCCGGGGCUCAACCCCGGAACUGCUUUGGAAACUGUAGAGCUAGAGUGCAGGAGAGGUAAGUGGAAUUCCUAGUGUAGCGGUGAAAUGCGUAGAUAUUAGGAGGAACACCAGUGGCGAAGGCGGCUUACUGGACUGUAACUGACGUUGAGGCUCGAAGGCGUGGGGAGCAAACAGGAUUAGAUACCCUGGUA
Molecule: ribosomal RNA, 434 nt
Filed under: uncultured Lachnospiraceae bacterium
Lineage: Bacteria; Bacillati; Bacillota; Clostridia; Lachnospirales; Lachnospiraceae
Description: partial 16S ribosomal RNA
Rfam family: Bacterial small subunit ribosomal RNA
Source: RNAcentral